UGGGGAAUCUUAGAGAAUGGGGGAAACCCUGAUCUAGCCAUGCCGCGUGAGUGACGAAGGUCUUAGGAUCGUAAAGCUCUUUCGCCAGGGAAGAUAAUGACGGUACCUGGUAAAGAAAGCCCCGGGCUCAACCUGGGAAUUGCCUUUGAAACUGAUGAGCUAGAGUCCGGAAGAGGAUAGCGGAAUUCCCAGUGUAGAGGUGAAAUUCGUAGAUAUUGGGAAGAACACCAGUGGCGAAGGCGGCUAUCUGGUCCGGUACUGACGCUGAGGCGCGAAAGCGUGGGGAGCAAACAGGAUUAGAUACCCGUGUAGUCC
RNAcentral lists this ribosomal RNA (315 nucleotides) under uncultured prokaryote. RNAcentral's name for it is "bacterial SSU rRNA". It matches the Rfam family "Bacterial small subunit ribosomal RNA", at positions 355 to 796 of the family's 1533-position model. The record is from RNAcentral.